AAGAAUUCCUCACAGUAGAAUUUGAAGCUAAUGAACCAGUCAGAGAACCAUAUGUUCUCUGACUCUGAAGUCGAAUGGGAGGCUGUUGAAGUGGUUACACUUCGACUGGCACAAGGACUCGGGCAGGCGGCGGACCCACAUGCACAGCACGGAGGCAGGAUUACGAUCAAAAAAAGGUUUAUUUCUUAAGGCACGGUCAGACGGUCCAGGUCAUACACAAAAUGGUCACGGCAAAAAUACAGGCAGGGAUCAGGCAAACUCACGGUCAGUAGCAGUCCAGGGUCAGGCAGGAUACACGGAGACACAGGAAACUCGGAACAAAGAAACACGAACGAAACUCGGAACACUCAUGAAACACAGCCGGAUGGAAACAAGGUACUGGAACACGGAACACGAAAACA
Betta splendens (Siamese fighting fish) is the source of this 401-nucleotide long non-coding RNA. RefSeq lists it as uncharacterized. The transcript has 2 exons. The record is from RefSeq and is a predicted model, not a curated record. NCBI's taxonomy places the organism in Eukaryota, Metazoa, Chordata, Actinopteri, Anabantiformes, Osphronemidae.